RNAcentral lists this ribosomal RNA (497 nucleotides) under uncultured bacterium. RNAcentral describes it as "partial 16S ribosomal RNA". It matches the Rfam family "Bacterial small subunit ribosomal RNA", at positions 28 to 507 of the family's 1533-position model. The record is from RNAcentral.
GAUGAACGCUGGCGGCGUGCCUAAUACAUGCAAGUCGAGCGAACGGACGAGAAGCUUGCUUUUCUGAUGUUAGCGGCGGACGGGUGAGUAACACGUGGAUAACCUACCUAUAAGACUGGGAUAACUUCGGGAAACCGGAGCUAAUACCGGAUAAUAUUUUGAACCGCAUGGUUCAAAAGUGAAAGACGGUCUUGCUGUCACUUAUAGAUGGAUCCGCGCUGCAUUAGCUGGUUGGUAAGGUAACGGCUUACCAAGGCAACGAUGCAUAGCCGACCUGAGAGGGUGGUCGCCCACACUGGAACUGGGACACGGUCCAGACUCCUACGGGAGGCAGCAGUAGGGAACCUUACGCAAUGGGCGAAAGCCUGACGGAGCAACGCCGCGUGAGUGAUGAAGGUCUUCGGAUCGUAAAACUCUGUUAUUAGGGAAGAACAUAUGUGUAAGUAACUGUGCACAUCUUGACGGUACCUAAUCAGAAAGCCACGGCUAACUACGUG